CUAUGCCUACGGGGCGCAGCAGUGGGGAAUAUUGCACAAUGGGGGAAACCCUGAUGCAGCGACGCCGCGUGGGUGACGAAGUAUUUCGGUAUGUAAAGCCCUAUCAGCAGGGAAGAAGAUGGCAGUACCUGACUAAGAAGCCCCGGCUAACUACGUGCCAGCAGCCGCGGUAAUACGUAGGGGGCGAGCGUUAUCCGGAUUUACUGGGUGUAAAGGGAGCGUAGACGGCGCGGCAAGUCUGAAGUGAAAGGCAGGGGCUUAACCCCUGAACUGCUUUGGAAACUGCCAUGCUAGAGUGCUGGAGG
This 305-nucleotide ribosomal RNA is filed under the name uncultured bacterium. Its description in RNAcentral is "bacterial SSU rRNA". It matches the Rfam family "Bacterial small subunit ribosomal RNA", at positions 333 to 655 of the family's 1533-position model. The record is from RNAcentral.